GGAUUGUGGCUCAGAGGUAGAGCGCUUGCCUAGCAUGCACGAGGCCCUGGGUUCCACCCUCAGCACCA
This 68-nucleotide transfer RNA is filed under the name Marmota monax (woodchuck). RNAcentral describes it as "tRNA.Ala". The stretch from base 5 to 65 matches the Rfam family "tRNA", at positions 6 to 65 of the family's 71-position model. Rfam says of the family: Transfer RNA (tRNA) molecules are approximately 80 nucleotides in length. The record is from RNAcentral. Lineage: Eukaryota; Metazoa; Chordata; Mammalia; Rodentia; Sciuridae.